Molecule: ribosomal RNA, 362 nt
Filed under: uncultured bacterium
Lineage: Bacteria
Description: bacterial SSU rRNA
Rfam family: Bacterial small subunit ribosomal RNA
Source: RNAcentral
AGCGAACGCUGGCGGCAGGCCUAAACAUGCAAGUCGAGCGCCGUAGCAAUACGGAGCGGCAGACGGGUGAGUAACACGUGGGAACGUACCCUUUGGUUCGGAACAACCCAGGGAAACUUGGGCUAAUACCGGAUAAGUCCGCAAGGAGAAAGAUUUAUCGCCGAAGGAUCGGCCCGCGUCUGAUUAGCUUGUUGGUGGGGUAACGGCCCACCAAGGCGACGAUCAGUAGCUGCUCUGAGAGGAUGAUCAGCCACACUGGGACUGAGACACGGCCCAGACUCCUACGGGAGGCAGCAGUUAGGAAUCUUGGACAAUGGGCGCAAGCCUGAUCCAGCCAUGCCGCGUGAGUGAUGAAGGCCCUA